CAGUAGCCGCGGUAAUACGUAGGUGGCGAGCGUUGUCCGGAAUCAUUGGGCGUAAAGGGAGCGCAGGCGGGCAUGUAAGUCUUUCUUAAAAGUUCGGGGCUCAACCCCGUGAUGGGAAAGAAACUACAUGUCUUGAGUACAGGAGAGGAAAGCGGAAUUCCCAGUGUAGCGGUGAAAUGCGUAGAUAUUGGGAGGAACACCAGUGGCGAAGGCGGCUUUCUGGACUGCAACUGACGCUGAGGCUCGAAAGCCAGGGGAGCGAACGGGAUUAGAGACCCCUGUAGUCCCUGUCUCUUAUACA
RNAcentral lists this ribosomal RNA (301 nucleotides) under uncultured bacterium. RNAcentral's name for it is "partial 16S ribosomal RNA". It matches the Rfam family "Bacterial small subunit ribosomal RNA", at positions 509 to 809 of the family's 1533-position model. The record is from RNAcentral.